GAUGAACGCUGGCGGCGUGCCUAAUACAUGCAAGUCGAGCGAACGGACGAGAAGCUUGCUUCUCUGAUGUUAGCGGCGGACGGGUGAGUAACACGUGGAUAACCUACCUAUAAGACUGGGAUAACUUCGGGAAACCGGAGCUAAUACCGGAUAAUAUUUUGAACCGCAUGGUUCAAAAGUGAAAGACGGUCUUGCUGUCACUUAUAGAUGGAUCCGCGCUGCAUUAGCUAGUUGGUAAGGUAACGGCUUACCAAGGCAACGAUGCAUAGCCGACCUGAGAGGGUGAUCGGCCACACUGGAACUGAGACACGGUCCAGACUCCUACGGGAGGCAGCAGUAGGGAAUCUUCCGCAAUGGGCGAAAGCCUGACGGAGCAACGCCGCGUGAGUGAUGAAGGUCUUCGGAUCGUAAAACUCUGUUAUUAGGGAAGAACAUAUGUGUAAGUAACUGUGCACAUCUUAACGGUACCUAAUCAGAAAGCCACGGCUAACUACGU
RNAcentral lists this ribosomal RNA (496 nucleotides) under uncultured bacterium. RNAcentral describes it as "partial 16S ribosomal RNA". It matches the Rfam family "Bacterial small subunit ribosomal RNA", at positions 28 to 506 of the family's 1533-position model. The record is from RNAcentral.